This 484-nucleotide ribosomal RNA is filed under the name uncultured bacterium. RNAcentral describes it as "partial 16S ribosomal RNA". It matches the Rfam family "Bacterial small subunit ribosomal RNA", at positions 30 to 507 of the family's 1533-position model. The record is from RNAcentral.
AUUGAACGCUGGCGGCAGGCCUAACACAUGCAAGUCGAGCGGAUGAAGGGAGCUUGCUCCUGGAUUCAGCGGCGGACGGGUGAGUAAUGCCUAGGAAUCUGCCUGGUAGUGGGGGAUAACGUCCGGAAACGGGCGCUAAUACCGCAUACGUCCUGAGGGAGAAAGUGGGGGAUCUUCGGACCUCACGCUAUCAGAUGAGCCUAGGUCGGAUUAGCUAGUUGGUGGGGUAAAGGCCUACCAAGGCGACGAUCCGUAACUCGUCUGAGAGGAUGAUCAGUCACACUGGAACUGAGACACGGUCCAGACUCCUACGGGAGGCAGCAGUGGGGAAUAUUGGACAAUGGGCGAAAGCCUGAUCCAGCCAUGCCGCGUGUGUGAAGAAGGUCUUCGGAUUGUAAAGCACUUUAAGUUGGGAGGAAGGGCAGUAAGUUAAUACCUUGCUGUUUUGACGUUACCAAUAGAAUAAGCACCGGCUAACUUCGUG